This 79-nucleotide transfer RNA is filed under the name Nitrososphaerota archaeon. RNAcentral's name for it is "tRNA-Pro". It matches the Rfam family "tRNA". Rfam says of the family: Transfer RNA (tRNA) molecules are approximately 80 nucleotides in length. Their secondary structure includes four short double-helical elements and three loops (D, anti-codon, and T loops). Lineage: Archaea; Thermoproteati; Nitrososphaerota. The record is from RNAcentral.
GGGGUCGUCGUCCAGUUUGGUCUAGGAUACCAGCCUGGGGCGCUGGCGAUCGUGAGUUCAAAUCUCACCGACCCCACCA